GGGCCGUUAGCUCAGCUGGUAGAGCAGGAGACUCUUAAUCUCUUUGUCGUAGGUUCGAACCCUACACGGCCCA
RNAcentral lists this transfer RNA (73 nucleotides) under Tatlockia sp. RNAcentral describes it as "tRNA-Lys". It matches the Rfam family "tRNA". Rfam says of the family: Transfer RNA (tRNA) molecules are approximately 80 nucleotides in length. Their secondary structure includes four short double-helical elements and three loops (D, anti-codon, and T loops). Lineage: Bacteria; Pseudomonadati; Pseudomonadota; Gammaproteobacteria; Legionellales; Legionellaceae. The record is from RNAcentral.